CCUACGGGUGGCAGCAGUGAGGAAUAUUGGUCAAUGGGCGAGAGCCUGAACCAGCCAAGUCGCGUGAAGGAUGACGGCCCUACGGGUGGUAAACUUCUUUUGUCAGGGAGCAAUUGGGUCCACGCGUGGGCUUAGCGCGAGUACCUGACGAAAAAGCAUCGGCUAACUCCGUGCCAGCAGCCGCGGUAAUACGGUGGAUGCGAGCGUUAUCCGGAUUUAUUGGGUUUAAAGGGUGCGUAGGCGGAAGAUCAAGUCAGCGGGAAAAAUUCGGGGCUCAACCCCGUCGUGCCGUGGAAACUGAUGUUCUUGAGUGGACGAGAAGUAUGCGGAAUGCGUGGUGUAGCGGUGAAAUGCAUAGAUAUCACGAAGAACUCCGAUUGCGAAGGCAGCAUACCGGCGCCCAACUGACGCUGAAGCACGAAAGCGUGGGUAUCGAACAGGAUUAGAUACCCCGGUAGUC
This 460-nucleotide ribosomal RNA is filed under the name uncultured bacterium. RNAcentral describes it as "partial 16S ribosomal RNA". It matches the Rfam family "Bacterial small subunit ribosomal RNA", at positions 338 to 795 of the family's 1533-position model. The record is from RNAcentral.